GAUGAGCGCUGGCGGCGUGCCUAAUACAUGCAAGUCGAGCGGUAACAGGGAGAGCUUGCUCUCUGCUGACGAGCGGCGGACGGCUGAGUAACACGUAGGAACGUACCCCAAAGUGAGGGAUAACUGCUCGAAAGAGUAGCUAAUACCGCAUGUGAUCCACGGAUUAAAGCUUUAUGCGCUUUGGGAACGGCCUGCGUCCGAUUAGCUAGUUGGUGAGGUAAUAGCUCACCAAGGCGAUGAUCGGUAGCUGGUCUGAGAGGAUGAUCAGCCGGACUGGGACUGAGACACGGCCCAGACUCCUACGGGAGGCAGCAGUAGGGAAUUUUCCACAAUGGGCGAAAGCCUGAUGGAGCAACGCCGCGUGCAGGAUGAAUGCCUUCGGGUUGUAAACUGCUUUUGUUAGUGAAGAUUAUGACGGUAGCUAACGAAUAAGGGUCUGCUAACUACGUGCCAGCCGCCGCGGUA
RNAcentral lists this ribosomal RNA (465 nucleotides) under uncultured bacterium. RNAcentral describes it as "partial 16S ribosomal RNA". It matches the Rfam family "Bacterial small subunit ribosomal RNA", at positions 28 to 522 of the family's 1533-position model. The record is from RNAcentral.